Molecule: long non-coding RNA, 1429 nt
Filed under: Pogona vitticeps (central bearded dragon)
Lineage: Eukaryota; Metazoa; Chordata; Lepidosauria; Squamata; Agamidae
Description: lncRNA (ENSPVIG00000024293.1)
Source: RNAcentral
CAAUAGGUGGGAGGGGAGGAGGAAGACGAAGGGUGGGGUGGGCUACCCCGCCUUCCCCCGUCCAAUAUUUGCCACCGGGACGCGGCGGGCUCUGCGAACAACUCCCGGAGCAGCUGUUUCCCGUCGCCGGACUCGAGCCGAGGAAGCCCGCGCAGCCCCGGCACCCAGGGCGCCCCGAUGAGGAACACGCUCUUAAACCUCCAUAUCCUCAAGACGAAACCAACAAUCAUCUUUAUCAUUGGCAUCAUGGGAGUUGGAAUAGGUAGCGGACUCCUCUGCUGCUUGAAGUAUGCCAUGUUCAACCCCGAAAUAAGUUGGAUUAAGAAGGAUUCAGAAAAAUGGGAUGAGCAGAACCCUAAUUACCCAUACAAGUUCGUAGGUCUCACCGAGGACAACAGUGCCAAGAAGAGAACUCGCCCAGACUUGUGAGGGUGCUGCAGCUCAGUCCUUCUCCUGCCCCCUGCGAUGUUCAGAGGAAGGACUGCCUGCUUUGCCGCUUUGCAUGGCCCACAUCUCUAGCUCCUGGGCUGGGCCGCCUCUUAUGUGCCACGCAUUUACAUGGUGUACAUGCCAAAGGACCGCUUCUGUUUCCUACCUGCCUGUGUGUGAUUAGACGUGCCCCGAAGUUUGCCAGUAAGGUGUCAAAAGCCCAUCUGGAGGAACCAAAGGAAAAUAUUAACCCAUUCUCCUUUCUGUGAAAAUGCCUCUGGGAACUGAAGUAAUAAGCAACUUAUUUAGUAAAGGUUGACUGACCACAGUGGAGGGGAGAAAAAGAGGAAGGAAACAACCCUGUUGUUCCCUUUGGCUCCUGCAGAGGCUUCUUGGUUCACUCUUUUCCACCCUGUUCUUGUGAGUGGCCCUGACCCAUAUAUUCUGCAUUUCCUGUCUCCCACCCUCAGAGUCACCAUUCCCAUGGAGAAAGUGCAGCACCAGUAAGUAGAUUGUGAAGCCAGUCAACCUGACUGAAGUCUUAGGAGAGAUGCCCGCCAUCAGACAGCCAAGGCUACCUUUUCUAAAACUGGAAAUGCCAGCUGCGGUCUCUGGAGAGAGGCUAUGCACAAGAGAUCCAAGUCCGGGUUUGGAGGAAGUAAAUUGAGGGGAGAAGGGGUAGACGAUUCAGGCAACACGUCUGGAAAGGGUUCGGGAACCUUCGUAUGGAACCAACCUGGGUUUUGACAACAGUUGUGGGAAGGAUUGAAGAUAUGCCUAUUUGUAUAUGUGGGCAAUUAUGAAGUUAUGCUUUUGGAUCUGAGUGCUAUUAUAUGGACAUCUGAUUACAGUGUGCGUUAAUUUAUUCUAUAACAUUUCUGUGCAUUUCCACCCAAAUGAUGUUGGUAUGAAAUUAUUUGGUACAAAAUAUUACACAAAUAUAAUUAUAAUUACACUUUGUAUGCAUACACUAAGCAUUCACACUAUUCAGUAUACACAG